Molecule: ribosomal RNA, 467 nt
Filed under: uncultured bacterium
Lineage: Bacteria
Description: partial 16S ribosomal RNA
Rfam family: Bacterial small subunit ribosomal RNA
Source: RNAcentral
GACGAACGCUGGCGGCGUGCUUAACACAUGCAAGUCGAACGGAAAGGCCCUGCUUUUGUGGGGUGCUCGAGUGGCGAACGGGUGAGUAACACGUGAGUAACCUGCCCUUGACUUUGGGAUAACUUCAGGAAACUGGGGCUAAUACCGGAUAGGAGCUCCUGCUGCAUGGUGGGGGUUGGAAAGUUUCGGCGGUUGGGGAUGGACUCGCGGCUUAUCAGCUUGUUGGUGGGGUAGUGGCUUACCAAGGCUUUGACGGGUAGCCGGCCUGAGAGGGUGACCGGCCACAUUGGGCCUGGGAUACGGCCCAGACUCCUACGGGAGGCAGCAGUGGGGAAUAUUGCGCAAUGGGCGGAAGCCGGAUGCAGCAACGCCGCGUGCGGGAUGACGGCCUUCGGGUUGUAAACCGCUUUCGCCUGUGACGAAGCGUGAGUGACGGUAAUGGGUAAAGAAGCACCGGCUAACUACGU